This 506-nucleotide ribosomal RNA is filed under the name uncultured bacterium. Its description in RNAcentral is "partial 16S ribosomal RNA". It matches the Rfam family "Bacterial small subunit ribosomal RNA", at positions 28 to 523 of the family's 1533-position model. The record is from RNAcentral.
GAUGAACGCUAGCUACAGGCUUAACACAUGCAAGUCGAGGGGUAACGAGAGGAAAGCUUGCUUUCCUUGUCGACGACCGGCGCACGGGUGAGUAACGCGUAUCCAACCUGCCUCCAACUAGGGAAUAACCUUGCGAAAGUAAGACUAAUACCCUAUAAUUUCCUCAGAUGACAUCUGACGAGGAAUAAAGAUUUAUCGGUUGUGGAUGGGGAUGCGUCUGAUUAGCUUGUUGGCGGGGUAACGGCCCACCAAGGCAACGAUCAGUAGGGGUUCUGAGAGGAAGGUCCCCCACAUUGGAACGGAGACACGGUCCAAACUCCUACGGGAGGCAGCAGUGAGGAAUAUUGGUCAAUGGGCGGAAGCCUGAACCAGCCAAGUAGCGUGCAGGAUGACGGCCCUAUGGGUUGUAAACUGCUUUUAUACAGGAAUAAAGUUAGCCACGUGUGGUUAUUUGUAGGUACUGUAUGAAUAAGGACCGGCUAAUUCCGUGCCAGCAGCCGCAGUAA